RNAcentral lists this ribosomal RNA (375 nucleotides) under Tantilla melanocephala (black-headed snake). RNAcentral describes it as "partial 16S ribosomal RNA". It matches the Rfam family "Bacterial large subunit ribosomal RNA", at positions 1970 to 2557 of the family's 2925-position model. The record is from RNAcentral. Lineage: Eukaryota; Metazoa; Chordata; Lepidosauria; Squamata; Colubridae.
UGUCUACUAAUUAUAGACCUGUAUGAAAGGCAAAAUGAGGGUCCAACUGUCUCUUAUAAUAAAUCAAUUAAACUGAUCUCCUAGUAAAAAAGCUAGGAUCCUAACACAAGACCAGAAGACCCUGUGAAGCUUAAACUAAACUAUUAAACCCUAUAAUAACUAAUUUCGGUUGGGGCGACCUUGGAAAAAAAAAGAACUUCCAACAUGUGACUUUCCAAAUACUAAAUUCUUAGGCCAACAAGCCACCUAACGACCCAGCUAAUGCUGAUAAACGAAACAGUUACUCCAGGGAUAACAGCGCAAUCUUCUUUAAGAGCCCAUAUCAAAAAGAAGGUUUACGACCUCGAUGUUGGAUCAGGACAUCCUAAUGGUGCA